Molecule: ribosomal RNA, 253 nt
Filed under: uncultured bacterium
Lineage: Bacteria
Description: partial 16S ribosomal RNA
Rfam family: Bacterial small subunit ribosomal RNA
Source: RNAcentral
UACGUAGGGGGCAAGCGUUGUCCGGAAUCAUUGGGCGUAAAGAGCGUGUAGGCGGUCCGGUAAGUCCGCUGUGAAAGUCGGGGGCUCAACCCUCGGAUGCCGGUGGAUACUGUCGGGCUUGAGUACGGAAGAGGCGAGUGGAAUUCCUGGUGUAGCGGUGAAAUGCGCAGAUAUCAGGAAGAACACCCGUGGCGAAGGCGGCACUCUGGGACGGUACUGACGCUGAGACGCGAAAGCGUGGGGAGCGAACAGG